AGUGCACUGGAAAUUUAACGCUUCCGUUGAUAGAACACUGCUCUCUUAUUGAUCACAAAGUUACAGAUUUAUUGGAGACACUCGGAUGGAAUUUUGAUGUACAUUGUGGCAAGAAGGCACACAAAAUUUUUCCUUUUUAGACCACGUGUUUUCUGUCUUUGAUCUUAGAUCUCGUACUCUAUCAAAGUAUUACUGAACUCAAGAUCUUUCAGAGUAAUUUGAAAAGAUCUUCAUUCAAACAGAAAACAUUCUAUCUAAGUGCAUUCCAAAGAAUCACCACUCCUGACAACGACAGAUAAAUUUCAAAUUCUGGGUUGAACAGUUAUUGUCUCAAGUGUUUUAUUCAUGGGCACAAUAUGCAAAAUACAGAGUGCGGAGCCUUACUGAGAGCCAGAUUGAGAGAAAUACAAAAGCUAAAAACUACCUUUGUGGAAUCAAAAAGGGUAUUUGAGGACCUUCAACAUAAUGCACUGGAACAUAAAAU
This 484-nucleotide long non-coding RNA is filed under the name Gallus gallus (chicken). RNAcentral describes it as "lncRNA (ENSGALG00010008772.1)". Lineage: Eukaryota; Metazoa; Chordata; Aves; Galliformes; Phasianidae. The record is from RNAcentral.